RNAcentral lists this ribosomal RNA (213 nucleotides) under uncultured bacterium. RNAcentral describes it as "16S ribosomal RNA". It matches the Rfam family "Bacterial small subunit ribosomal RNA", at positions 101 to 318 of the family's 1533-position model. The record is from RNAcentral.
AACGGGUGAGUAACACGUGAGAAACCUGCCCCAGACUCUGGGAUAACACAAAGAAAUUUGUGCUAAUACCGGAUAUCUCUUUCCUCGCAUGGGGGGUUGAGGAAAGUUUUUCGGUUUGGGAGGGUCUNNCGGCCUAUCAGCUAGUUCCUGGGGUAAUGGCCUACCAAGGCAACGACGGUAGCUGGUUUGAGAGAACGAUCAGCCACACUGGAA